AUGGAGAGAAAAAGGAUAAAUUUCCAGAACUAUGGUCCCUGUGCUCCAGUUCGUCAGGCGGGCGCGGCGGAGACGGAGACCGAGGAACGCCGCUGGGGCCAUGCGGCGCUACCGCGCGUGGUGGCUCUGUGUCUGGCCUGAGGCUUCUGCUCGCUCCUUUACGCCUUCAGCCAGCUCCCCGUGUCCCCGGAGGAAGGAGCGGGCCGUGGUGGCGGGAAGCCGCAGGCCGCAGUGGCUUCCUGGCUGGCGGGAGGCGGAUGCGGUGCGGUGAGAGGCGCGAGCAGCGCUUGUCCCGCUGCUCAUCCCCGCAGGUGGGACAGGUGUAGUCUGAAAAUACAGCCUGUUGAGAAAAUGUAUCUAGGUGAAAGACUGGAAGAAACUAUGACCAUGUUGAAGUCAGCUAUUAUUUUCAGGAUCAAACCUCUUCAAUUCCAGAUUUUUGCUGAAGAUCAACUACAUCAUAGCUUUAAAGGAAGGCUUGACAGGGGUCAUUUCUACAAAUAUUUAAUUAUACAAUAUACUCCAUAACCUUUCCAAGUGAGAAUGCAGCAGAGUGGAAAAACUCUUUAAACCAUGUGGUUUGCAGAGAUUGUCCUUGCCGUUAUUCCUGAAAGAAGUUGACUCUCACACUGAUAGCCUUUUUAAAAGACCAGCUGAUAAUAUUUGGUCUUUACUAAAGAAAUUUAAUUCCACACAAAUUCUGCAAUGGCCCCAGAACACAAGGAAUGUCAAAUAGGAUGGUAUAGUCGCUUUGCUAGGCAUCCAUAGUGUGGAAAAGCUGGAGUAAACUCUGGAGUUAUGUUGACAAACAUGACUUGAAUGAGAAGGAAGUAUUUCAAGAAUAAUAUGACAACUGUGUGACUACAAUGAGGAGAUAUACUUAUGACAUGGCUUAAAAUAUACAAGUUAAACAUUACAUGGGCGAUCAAGAUCUGUUGGAUAUCCUGUUUUUUCAUAAUCCAGAAAGCCUUUUUGUCUUUCCGUGUCAAUGGAAGUGUCGUCCAGAUCACUGUCUAUAUGGAAGCAGUUGCCAAGAAGCAGAAGAAGGAAUCUUUAUUUUUCACGGGAACAGAGGUGUUUACCAUGAUGAUAAGCAACCAGCAUUUAGAGCUGUUUAUGAAGCACUGAGAAAUUGUUCUUUUAAGAUGACAAUGUUCAUUCAUUAAUAAAACCUUUAGAAUUGGAACUACAAAAAAUAGUGCAUACAUACCGUGGAAAAAUUUACUAAAUAUUUAUCAAACAAUUAGCAAAAACAUAAGAGAUCGCUAUGUCAGAUCACCAAAGGAAAGGUGAUUCUUGUUGCCUGCUACAUCAAAUGGAUGAAAAGAACAAAGCAUUGGAGGAUAAGUAUGAAGGAACUGUCUUGGGUGAAGCAUUAAGGCAGGAAUUAUUCAUCUACAGAAUUUUUUUUUUUCCUGAAGAGGUUAAAUGAGCAGUAUUUUCAGGUAAUGAAGAAUAAGUUAAAAUCUUGGGCUUCAACAAAGAAAAAUUUUUGGCCUCUGAUGUUGUGUAAUGUUACUUACUAUCAUUCCAGUAUUGAUGAAAAUAUUAUUGAAUGGUUUUAGCCUGCAAACUUCUGUUGACUCAUACUCUCAAGAGUGGUGGGGCUGUGAAAAUGAAGAAAAUGUACCUCAAACACAGUGCAAACACUCAGAUGAGUCAGCUCUCUUCAGGAUGCGCAUUUAUUUCUCCCUUUGGAGGAGGCCUCAGUCCAGCUCAGCCAAGGACUGAAAGGCACAUCUGGCUAAUUCAAGACUGAGAAAGGCUUUUACAUCAAAUAUUGAUAAUGAUAAUAAUAAUGAACACAUGUUGAGCACUUACCAUGUCUCAAGCACUGCUCUAGAGCUUCCCAUGAAAGAACCCCUCUAAUCUUCAGAACAACCCUGUGAGAACUGGCUGAAGUUUACUUUUUGGUUCUCCAGAGACCUAGCUUCUUCCAAUGUGGUCUAUUUAAUCUCCUGUCAUGUGGGAAAUUAUAUUCAAAAUCUCCAUGAUCCUCUGUCCAUAGUAAGUUAUGCAUGUAGUGAGAAGUACAUGCCACAAGGUCUUGAGAUUAUAUCUGCAAUGUGUUGCUGCUGGCUGUUGAUCAAGAUAGGCUGGGAGAAGAUCAUUUUCAGGUGUGAAAAACUGUCACCUUUAUCAAAUAAUUCUUCUUGCAUAUUUCCCAAGACGUUGUAGCCUGUCUAAACUUGGGAGGUUAAUUUUGUAGCAUUCAUUAUGACCGAAAAUGUAGUUCACACAAUCAUGAUGCUCUCUUUAUUAGGUGUUACUGUUAAACAAUAUUAAAAUACA
This is an RNA transcript of Homo sapiens (human), 2292 nucleotides long. It is a transcript of the gene named GXYLT1 pseudogene 3, with no coding region annotated. The transcript has 4 exons. Lineage: Eukaryota; Metazoa; Chordata; Mammalia; Primates; Hominidae. The record is from RefSeq and is marked validated.